Long non-coding RNA from Helianthus annuus (common sunflower), 3813 nucleotides. RefSeq lists it as uncharacterized. NCBI's taxonomy places the organism in Eukaryota, Viridiplantae, Streptophyta, Magnoliopsida, Asterales, Asteraceae. The transcript is spliced from 8 exons. The record is from RefSeq and is a predicted model, not a curated record.
AUUAGAUCCAUCCCACUUGAACCAUACUCUCUCUCAUCACACAUUCUCUCUCCUCCUCUCUCUCUCUCCGAUCGCACAAAUCCAGAUUCUUCUCUAUCUCUUACAAAUCAUCACGCUUCCUGUUCAUCUUCUUACAAAUCAUCAACGAAUAAACUUCCACUCAUUCACUGAUCAACACACAAAUCAAGCAAAAGUUCUUCAGUUGGUACUAAGGAACACUCAACACCUGCGGUCAAAGGUACGUCAACAUCCUACUGGAAGGGAAAAGCUCUGGAAUACUUGAAGAUUGGACUUGAUUCUAUAAAGUCAGCGACCGAGAAUUUUGCUGAAAAAUAUUUCGUUGGGUCAGGCGGGUAUGGUUAGGUGUAUAAAGCAGAACUUGAACAUUUUGAUUCUGGUGCAAUGAAAGGAAAUUGCGAAUCAGAACCACCGAGGAGAUGCAACACUGUAGCUAUAAAAUAUAUCUUAAAUAGAGAAGACACACAAGGAGAACAAGGAUUCUUUACGGAAAUUGAAGCGCUAAGUAGUUGUAUGCAUCUUAAUAUCGUAUCUCUUCUUGGCUUCUGCUAUGAACGUCCUCAUAUGAUCCUUGUUUAUGAGCAUGUUUCAAGGAGAAGCCUUGAUGAUUAUUUGGGUAGCGAAGGAAAGAUGACUAAUCUUACUUGGGUGCAACGAAAAAAAAUAUGCGUUGGUAUUGCAUGUGGAUUAGAUUACCUUCAUACAACUAUGGACAACAAACAAAAGAUAAUCCACCGUGACAUAAAGAGUGCCAAUUUCUACUGGGCGAGAACUGGGAGGCAAAGAUUGCUGACUUUGGACUCUCCAUAUUCCACCCACUUGAUCACAAAGCGAGCACUAUCAACGUAGCCAAAGUUACAGGCACACAAGUGUACCUGGACCCAGACACAAGUUGAAAAAAGAAUCUGACGUUUACUCUUUUGGGGUGGUGUUAUUUGAGAUCAUGUGCGGAAGAUUGGCUUAUGAUCCGGUAUACACCAACGAAUUUGAAAAAGGUUUUGCACCCAUUGUGAGACAACUUUGAGAAAGGAACAAUAAAGGAAAUUAUAGAUCCUAAUUUAAAAGAAGAAAAUACCUUUACACUAAGUAAAGGACCCAAUCAAGAUUCUUUAAAUACGUUUGUAACAAUCGGGAAUAGAUGUUUGGCAGAAAAGCAAGCCGAGCGUCCAACAAUGAAAGUCGUCAUUGAGGAACUUAUGAAAGCAUCAAACUUUCAAGAAACUCACAAGGACAGCCUUCGAAUGUCACUUGAAGACAUAAAAUUUGCCACACAAAACUUCGAUGAUGAAAAUUUAAUUGGGCAUGGAAGACUUGGGAAGGUUUAUAGUGGAGAAAUUCUACGUCCUAAUGGACCUACUCCUAUUGCUGUAAAGCGGCAUGAUGUGGAGUUUGUUCCGGGAGAAAGAGAAUUUGUGACAGAGCUGGAAAUUCUUUUUGAGUACAAGCACACUAAUAUUAUCGGUCUUGUAGGCUACUGUAACCAAAACGAAGAAAGAAUCUCUGUUUAUGAGUAUGCCAUAAACGGAACUCUGGAUAGGCAUUUGAUAAAACCCAGUCUUACAUGGAUGGAACGACUUAAGAUCGGCAUUGAUGUUGCAAUGGGGUUGGAUUUUCUUUACGGAAGUGGUACAACACAAGCUUUUGUAAUACAUGGGGAUAUAAAAUCAUCUAACAUUCUAUUAAAUGACGCCUCGCUUGCGGUAUGCGCAUAUAAUGUAUAUAUGUGUGGGCCAUCUGGGGGCAAAAGUGAAAGUGCACUAAUUUUAACGUUAUUUUACUAAUUUCGUGAAAAUAAUGUUAAAAGCUGAGGACGGUUAAUCAUGCACCAUGUGGUGGUGUUGAUAGCCGAAAGACAAAAGGGUACAUGUACUAAUCGGUCUUUGUCCCGAUUGCUGAGUGUUAUGUGCCUUAUGUCCAAGGCUUGAUGCAAAACUACUAUCGAGCUGGGGGUCUCACUGGAAGCAGCCUCUCUAUUCCUACGGGGUAGAGGUAAGGCUGUCUACAUCUUACCCUCCUUAGACCCUACCUUUGCUUUGCUAUUGGUGGGAUUUACCGAGUAUGAUUAUGAUGAUAACAUUCUAUUAAAUGGUGAUUGGAAGGCAAAAAUUACGGAUUUUGGGUUGUCCAUAAUAACUGUUGUGUGUAACGAAUUUGACUUUGUGGUCGAUUAUGCUUCCGGCACACCUAGCUAUUGUGACCCGUUUUACAUGGAAAGGUGUUUCUUAACGAAAGAAUCUGAUAUAUAUUCGCUUGGUGUGGUUUUAUUUGAGAUGAUGUGUGGAAGAUUGGCCAUUUUAAAAGACCAUAAGGAUGAACAUAGGACUCUUGUUAGUUUGGUUAAACAAUUUUAUAAAGAAGGAAAACUUGAUGAAUUGGUGUUUGAGGGUAUAAAGGAUAAAGUGGUGCCAAAAUCAUUGAUUACUUUCCAAACGAUUGCUUAUCGGUGCUUAAGUGUUUAAAGAGAGGAGUGGCCGACCGCAAGGGAGGUGGUCUUACAACUCAAGAAAGCGUUGGAAUUCCAAUAGGAUUUCGAAAUAUGGGAGGCCAAACUGCAAAGUGACUACAAAGAAAUAAUGCGGAUGUUGAAACUGACUGAUGUCUACUCAAACACAAGUCAAAAAGAUCUCUACCACAUGUUCUCCAAAGGAAUCCUACUUCAAGACGAAAAAGUGUGUUUGUCACAAGGCAGCAAUGGAGAAAUAAAUGAAACAGUAUCAGCGACAAAGUUUUCAUAUGGAAACCACAGUUGUCAUAAGUGGAGAUCUUUAAAAAAAAUCAAGAUUUCAAAGAGUGGUGAAAAUGAUGGAUACUCCAAAUUUAAAGAUUCAAAUCAAGAUUAAAUCUCAAUUUUUAACUCCAAAUGUGAUUUAUGGUGCUCACCUUGUCUUUAAAUUUUGUGAGCCAAGAAAAUUGUCAAGUCAACUAAUGUAUGUCAACCUCAAGUACCAAAUGGGGAGGGAAACCCUGCAUGCAUAUUUUGCAACAUGCGGUGAUGAGUGGAUGAUGAUAGAAUUGCGCCGAUUCAUACCUCACAAGAAAGAUGUUGAUUUUGAGGUUCUACUUGAGAGCUUAUCCUGAUACUAUUGUGGAAGUGGUGCAAUCUAUGUUGAAGGCAUCCAUUUUCAAAAUAACAAGUGUCAGUUGAUUAUGAUGAAAUAACGCAACUAGAAGAUGAUGAAAAGUUAAAUCUUAUGAUGAACAGUUUUUCUCCCUAAGCAAAGCCAACGGAAAGAAAUGUCACAUGCUUCGCAAAGAUGGUUUUAUACGAGUCUUCUAAUGUAGCUUUGUAGAAGUGGCUGAGCUUUUAUCACGCCAAGUAUUUCGGAUCAAAGGCAAGAUUGAAACCCAAAAGUUGUUGACAAAUACAAAUUAUGCAUGUCAUCUUGUAUUCAAGCUAUCACAAAAAUGUCACGGUUUGCAGUGUCCGGUGAAGGUGCGAGGUGUACUCCUUAAGAAAAACAAAGAGUUUAAUUUUUUUUAUUUUAGAUCUCCAAGUUUAGUAAACUUACACAAUGAAAGGGUACCGAAGCUCAGAGAAGACGGAUUAAUGGAAGUUAUUGUGUGGGAAUUCAACUCAGGUAACGAGUUCAUUGAUGCUCAUGUUCCUAUGAAUUUGAAAUUCAUAUGUUAUGAAGGAACCAUGUAUGGUCUUAUUGUAUAUGGCAUUAGAAUUUCGACCCAUAUGAGCUUAUAGAAAGAAAAGAACUUUGAUCAUGUAAUGUCCCUAAUAUUUAUUUGUUACCUUGUACAUUACACUUUCAUGAAAGGUAACUUCUCGACUCAGUCUUGAUCGUC